Molecule: ribosomal RNA, 485 nt
Filed under: uncultured bacterium
Lineage: Bacteria
Description: bacterial SSU rRNA
Rfam family: Bacterial small subunit ribosomal RNA
Source: RNAcentral
AUUGAACGCUGGCGGCAUGCUUUACACAUGCAAGUCGAACGGUAACAGGUCUUCGGAUGCUGACGAGUGGCGAACGGGUGAGUAAUGCAUCGGAACGUGCCCAGUCGUGGGGGAUAACGCAGCGAAAGCUGUGCUAAUACCGCAUACGAUCUAUGGAUGAAAGCGGGGGAUCGCAAGACCUCGCGCGAUUGGAGCGGCCGAUGUCAGAUUAGCUAGUUGGUGGGGUAAAGGCCCACCAAGGCGACGAUCUGUAGCUGGUCUGAGAGGACGACCAGCCACACUGGGACUGAGACACGGCCCAGACUCCUACGGGAGGCAGCAGUGGGGAAUUUUGGACAAUGGGCGCAAGCCUGAUCCAGCAAUGCCGCGUGCAGGAAGAAGGCCUUCGGGUUGUAACUGCUUUGUACGGAACGAAAAGGUCUGGGUUAAUACCCUGGGCCCGAUGACGGUACCGUAAGAAUAAGCACCGGCUAACUACGUGCCAG